Molecule: ribosomal RNA, 468 nt
Filed under: uncultured bacterium
Lineage: Bacteria
Description: partial 16S ribosomal RNA
Rfam family: Bacterial small subunit ribosomal RNA
Source: RNAcentral
GACGAACGCUGGCGGCGUGCUUAACACAUGCAAGUCGAACGGAAAGGCCCUGCUUUUGUGGGGUGCUCGGGUGGCGAACGGGUGAGUAACACGUGAGUAACCUGCCCUUGACUUUGGGAUAACUUCGGGAAACUGGGGCUAAUACCGGAUAGGAGCUCCUGCUGCAUGGUGGGGGUUGGAAAGUUUCGGCGGUUGGGGAUGGACUCGCGGCUUAUCAGCUUGUUGGUGGGGUAGUGGCUUACCAAGGCUUUGACGGGUAGCCGGCCUGAGAGGGUGACCGGCCACAUUGGGACUGAGAUACGGCCCAGACUCCUACGGGAGGCAGAAGUGGGGAAUAUUGCACAAUGGGCGGAAGCCUGAUGCAGCAACGCCGCGUGCGGGAUGACGGCCUUCGGGUUGUAAACCGCUUUCGCCUGUGACGAAGCGUGAGUGACGGUAAUGGGUAAAGAAGCACCGGCUAACUACGUG